RNAcentral lists this ribosomal RNA (314 nucleotides) under uncultured eukaryote. RNAcentral's name for it is "partial 18S ribosomal RNA". It matches the Rfam family "Eukaryotic small subunit ribosomal RNA", at positions 1470 to 1796 of the family's 1831-position model. The record is from RNAcentral.
CCCUUAGAUGUUCUGGGCCGCACGCGCGCUACACUGACUACUUCAACGAGUUGUUUCCUUGAUCGAAAGGUCUGGGUAAUCUUUGAAAGGUAGUCGUGAUGGGGAUAGAUCCUUGCAAUUUUUGAUCUUCAACGAGGAAUUCCUAGUAAACGCAAGUCAUCAGCUUGCAUUGAUUACGUCCCUGCCCUUUGUACACACCGCCCGUCGCACCUACCGAUUGAAUGGUCCGGUGAAGCCUCCGGAUUGGCGCGCACCUCGGUGCCGCCGAGAAGUUGGCUAAACCUUACCAUUUAGAGGAAGGUGAAGUCGUANCA